AUGAACGCUGGCGGCGUGCCUCAUACAUGCAAGUCGAGCGAACAGACGAGGAGCUUGCUCCUCUGACGUUAGCGGCGGACGGGUGAGUAACACGUGGAUAACCUACCUAUAAGACUGGGAUAACUUCGGGAAACCGGAGCUAAUACCGGAUAAUAUAUUGAACCGCAUGGUUCAAUAGUGAAAGACGGUUUUGCUGUCACUUAUAGAUGGAUCCGCGCCGCAUUAGCUAGUUGGUAAGGUAACGGCUUACCAAGGCGACGAUGCGUAGCCGACCUGAGAAGGUGAUCGGCCACACUGGAACUGAGACACGGUCCAGACUCCUACGGGAGGCAGCAGUAGGGAAUCUUCCGCAAUGGGCGAAAGCCUGACGGAGCAACGCCGCGUGAGUGAUGAAGGUCUUCGGAUCGUAAAACUCUGUUAUUAGGGAAGAACAAAUGUGUAAGUAACUAUGCACGUCUUGACGGUACCUAAUCAGAAAGCCACGGCUAACUACGUG
RNAcentral lists this ribosomal RNA (496 nucleotides) under uncultured bacterium. RNAcentral describes it as "partial 16S ribosomal RNA". It matches the Rfam family "Bacterial small subunit ribosomal RNA", at positions 29 to 507 of the family's 1533-position model. The record is from RNAcentral.